UCGAGACCCAACCAUACCAGCGGCGCCGCAGGCUGACAAGGAGGCGGAGUAGAGUGGCUGGACUACCUCGACACCUCCACUGCAACCAUGGGUAUCUCACGUGAUUCGAUGCACAAGCGUCAGGCCACCAGUGGAAAGCAGAAGGCGUGGCGCAAGAAGCGAAAGUAUGAGCUUGGCCGCCAGCCUGCUAACACCAAACUGUCUAGCAAUAAGACAGUGAGGAGGGUCUAUGUCCGUGGAGGCUACGUGAAGUGGAGGGCUCUCCAAUUGGAUACAUGUAACUACUCGUGGGGAAGUGAGGCUCUUACCCGCAAGACUGGCAUCCUGGAUGUGGUCUAUAAUGCAUCAAACAAUGAGCUUGUGAGGACUCAGACUCUUGUGAAGAGUGCCAUUGUACAAGUUGAUGCUGCUCCAUUCAAGCAGUGGUACCUCACUCACUAUGGAGUGGACAUCGGUAGGAAGAAGAAGGUGAUUAUCGCUAAGAAGGAUGCGACUGAG
Zea mays is the source of this 498-nucleotide RNA transcript. It is a transcript of the gene named ribosomal protein eS8 pseudogene, with no coding region annotated. The record is from RefSeq and is marked validated. The transcript is spliced from 3 exons. NCBI's taxonomy places the organism in Eukaryota, Viridiplantae, Streptophyta, Magnoliopsida, Poales, Poaceae.